GCGGAGGAAAAGAAACCAACAGGGAUUGCCUCAGUAACGGCGAGUGAAGCGGCAACAGCUCAAAUUUGAAAUCUGACCCCUUCGGGGCCCGAGUUGUAAUUUGUAGAGGGUGUUUCGGGCGCGGCGCCGGUCUAAGUUCCUUGGAACAGGACGUCAUAGAGGGUGAGAAUCCCGUAUGCGACCGGCGAUCAAGCCCAUGUGAAGCCCCUUCGACGAGUCGAGUUGUUUGGGAAUGCAGCUCAAAAUGGGUGGUAAAUUCCAUCUAAAGCUAAAUAUUGGCCGGAGACCGAUAGCGGACAAGUAGAGUGAUCGAAAGAUGAAAAGCACUUUGGAAAGAGAGUCAAACAGUACGUGAAAUUGUUGAAAGGGAAGCGCUUGCCACCAGACCGGUUCGGGGGUGAUCAGCCGCUGCUCGUCAGCUGGUGCACUCGCCCCCGAUUCCGGCCAGCAUCGGUUUGGGCGGCGGGAGAAAAGCCCCGGGAAUGUAGCUUCUUUCGGGGAGUCUUAUAGCCCGGGGCGCAAUGCCGCCCGCCCGGACCGAGGACCGCGCUUCGGCUAGGAUGCUGGCGUAAUGGUUGCAAGCGACCCGUCUUGAAACACGGACCAAGGAGUCUAACAUCUAUGCGAGUGUUUGGGUGUCAAACCCAUUCGCGGAAUGAAAGUGAACGGAGGUGGGAGCCCGUCGCACGGCGCACCAUCGACCGAUCCAGAUGUCUUCGGAUGGAUUUGAGUAUGAGCAUAGCUGUUGGGACCCGAAAGAUGGUGAACUAUGCCCGGAUAGGGUGAAGCCAGAGGAAACUCUGGUGGAGGCUCGCAGCGGUUCUGACGUGCAAAUCGAUCGUCAAAUCUAGGCAUAGGGGCGAAAGACCA
Molecule: ribosomal RNA, 870 nt
Filed under: Lobaria sp. CM-2020c
Lineage: Eukaryota; Fungi; Ascomycota; Lecanoromycetes; Peltigerales; Lobariaceae
Description: partial large subunit ribosomal RNA
Rfam family: Eukaryotic large subunit ribosomal RNA
Source: RNAcentral